GUAACAAGGUUUCCGUAGGUGAACCUGCGGAAGGAUCAUUACCGAGUGAGGGCCCUCUGGGUCCAACCUCCCACCCGUGUUUAACGAACCUUGUUGCUUCGGCGGGCCCGCCUCACGGCCGCCGGGGGGCAUCCGCCCCCGGGCCCGCGCCCGCCGAAGACACCUGUGAACACUGUCUGAAGUUGCAGUCUGAGAAACUAGCUAAAUUAGUUAAAACUUUCAACAACGGAUCUCUUGGUUCCGGCAUCGAUGAAGAACGCAGCGAAAUGCGAUAAAUAAUGUGAAUUGCAGAAUUCAGUGAAUCAUCGAGUCUUUGAACGCACAUUGCGCCCUCUGGUAUUCCGGAGGGCAUGCCUGUCCGAGCGUCAUUGCUGCCCUCAAGCACGGCUUGUGUGUUGGGCCCCCGUCCCCCCCCCCACCGGGGGGACGGGCCCGAAAGGCAGCGGCGGCACCGCGUCCGGUCCUCGAGCGUAUGGGGCUCUGUCACCCGCUCUUGUAGGCCCGGCCGGCGCCAGCCGACCCCCCUCAAUCUAUUUUUUCAGGUUGACCUCGGAUCAGGUAGGGAUACCCGCUGAACUUAAGCAUAUCAAUAA
RNAcentral lists this unclassified non-coding RNA (593 nucleotides) under Penicillium sanguifluum. RNAcentral's name for it is "sequence contains 18S rRNA gene, ITS1, 5.8S rRNA gene, ITS2, 28S rRNA gene". The stretch from base 215 to 368 matches the Rfam family "5.8S ribosomal RNA". The record is from RNAcentral. Lineage: Eukaryota; Fungi; Ascomycota; Eurotiomycetes; Eurotiales; Aspergillaceae.